GACGAACGCUGGCGGCGUGCUUAACACAUGCAAGUCGAACGGAAAGGCCCCUUUGGGGGUACUCGAGUGGCGCACGGGUGAGUAACACGUGAGUAACCUGCCCUUGACUUCGGGAUAACUUCAGGAAACUGGGGCUAAUACCGGAUAGGAAUCCUUGCUGCAUGGUGGGGGUUGGAAAGCUUCGGCGGUUUUGGAUGGACUCGCGGCUUAUCAGCUUGUUGGUGGGGUAGUGGCUUACCAAGGCUUUGACGGGUAGCCGGCCUGAGAGGGCGACCGGCCACAUUGGGACUGAGAUACGGCCCAGACUCCUACGGGAGGCAGCAGUGGGGAAUAUUACACAAUGGGCGGAAGCCUGAUGCAGCAACGCCGCGUGCGGGAUGACGGCCUUCGGGUUGUAAACCGCUUUCAGCAGGGGCGAAGCUUGUGGUGACGGUACCUGCAGAAGAAGCACCGGCUAACUACGUG
RNAcentral lists this ribosomal RNA (465 nucleotides) under uncultured bacterium. Its description in RNAcentral is "partial 16S ribosomal RNA". It matches the Rfam family "Bacterial small subunit ribosomal RNA", at positions 28 to 507 of the family's 1533-position model. The record is from RNAcentral.